UGUGUNGCGGAAAAUGCGUAGAUAUAGGAAGAAACACCAGUGGAGAAGGCGACCACGUGGACUGAUACUGACACUGAGGUGNGAAAGCGUGGGGAGCAACCAGGUUUAGAUCCCNGGGUAGUCCACCCCGUAAACGAUGUCAACUAGCCGUUGGAAUCCUUGAGAUUUUAGUGGCGCAGCUAACGCAUUAAGUUGCCCCCCUGGGGAGUACGGCCGCAAGGUUAAAACUCAAAUGAAUUGACGGGGGCCCGCCCAAGCGGUGGAGCAUGUGGUUUAAUUGGAAGCAACGGGAAGACCCUUACCAGCCCUUGACAUGCAGAGAACUUUCCAGAGAUGGAUUGGUGCCUUCGGGAACUCUGACCCAGGUGCUGCAUGGCUGUCGUCAGCUCGUGUCGUGAGAUGUUGGGUUAAGUCCCGUAACGAGCGCAACCCUUGUCCUUAGUUACCACCACGUUAUGGUGGGCACUCUAAGGAGACUCCCGGUGCCAAACCGGAGGAAGGUGGGGAGGACGUCAAGUCAUCAUGGCCCUUACGCCCUGGGCUCCACACGUGCUCCAAUGGUCGGUCCAGAGGGUUCCCAAGCCGCGAGGUGGACCUAAUCUCACAAAACCGAUUGUAGUCCGGAUCGCAUUCUGCAAUUGGAUUCCGGGAAUUCGGAAUCGCUAGUAAUCGCGAAUCAGAAUGUCGCGGUGAAUACGUUCCCGGGCCUUGUACACACCGCCCGUCACACCAUGGGAGUGGGUUGCACCAGAAGCAGGUAGUUUAACCUUCGGGAGGACG
This 780-nucleotide ribosomal RNA is filed under the name Stenotrophomonas maltophilia. RNAcentral describes it as "bacterial SSU rRNA". It matches the Rfam family "Bacterial small subunit ribosomal RNA", at positions 672 to 1452 of the family's 1533-position model. Lineage: Bacteria; Pseudomonadati; Pseudomonadota; Gammaproteobacteria; Lysobacterales; Lysobacteraceae. The record is from RNAcentral.